Molecule: transfer RNA, 77 nt
Filed under: Asticcacaulis sp. YBE204
Lineage: Bacteria; Pseudomonadati; Pseudomonadota; Alphaproteobacteria; Caulobacterales; Caulobacteraceae
Also listed under: 1 other name
Description: tRNA-Pro
Rfam family: tRNA
About the family: Transfer RNA (tRNA) molecules are approximately 80 nucleotides in length.
Source: RNAcentral
CGGAGAGUGGCGCAGCCUGGUAGCGCACCUGCUUCGGGAGCAGGGGGUCGCAGGUUCGAAUCCUGUUUCUCCGACCA